CUACGGGACGCUGCAGUGGGGAAUAUUGCACAAUGGAGGGAACUCUGAUGCAGCAACGCCGCGUGGAGGAUGACGCAUUUCGGUGUGUAAACUCCUUUUAUAUAGGAAGAUAAUGACGGUACUAUAUGAAUAAGCACCGGCUAACUCCGUGCCAGCAGCCGCGGUAAUACGGAGGGGUGCAAGCGUUACUCGGAAUCACUGGGCGUAAAGCGCAUGCAGGCGGUUAAAUAAGUUGGAAGUGAAAUCCUAUGGCUCAACCAUAGAACUGCUUCCAAAACUGUUUAACUAGAGUCUGGGAGGGGAAGAUGGAAUUAGUAGUGUAGGGGUAAAAUCCGUAGAGAUUACUAGGAAUACCAAAAGCGAAGGCGAUCUUCUGGAACAGUACUGACGCUGAGAUGCGAAAGCGUGGGGAGCAAACAGGAUUAGAUACCCCAGUAGUC
This 440-nucleotide ribosomal RNA is filed under the name uncultured bacterium. RNAcentral describes it as "partial 16S ribosomal RNA". It matches the Rfam family "Bacterial small subunit ribosomal RNA", at positions 339 to 795 of the family's 1533-position model. The record is from RNAcentral.